UACGGAGGUGGCAAGCGUUGUUCGGAAUUACUGGGCGUAAAGGGCGCGUAGGCGGCAUGGCAAGUCAGGUGUGAAAGCCCUAGGCUUAACCUGGGAAUUGCAUCUGAAACUGCUGUGCUUGAGUCCUGGAGAGGAUAGUGGAAUUCCCAGUGUAGCGGUGAAAUGCGUAGAUAUUGGGAGGAACACCGGUGGCGAAGGCGGCUAUCUGGACAGUGACUGACGCUGAGGCGCGAAAGCGUGGGGAGCAAACCGG
This 253-nucleotide ribosomal RNA is filed under the name uncultured bacterium. RNAcentral describes it as "partial 16S ribosomal RNA". It matches the Rfam family "Bacterial small subunit ribosomal RNA", at positions 524 to 776 of the family's 1533-position model. The record is from RNAcentral.